UGGGGAAUCUUGCACAAUGGGGGAAACCCUGAUGCAGCGACGCCGCGUGAGCGAUGAAGCCCUUCGGGGUGUAAAGCUCUUUCGUCAGGGAAGAUAGUGACGGUACCUGGAGAAGCAGCUGCGGCUAACUACGUGCCAGCAGCCGCGGUAAUACGUAGGCAGCAAGCGUUGUUCGGAGUUACUGGGCGUAAAGGGUGUGUAGGCGGUUCUUUAAGUUCGCUGUGGAAUCUCCCGGCUUAACCGGGAGGGUGCGGUGAAUACUGAGGGACUAGAGUACGGGAGAGGAAAGUGGAAUUCCUGGUGUAGCGGUGAAAUGCGUAAAUAUCAGGAGGAACACCGGUGGUGUAGACGGCUUUCUGGACCGUAACUGACGCUGAGACACGAAAGCGUGGGUAGCAAACAGGAUUAGAUACCCUGGUAGUCCACGCCCUAAACGAUGCAUAUUUGGUGUGGGCAGUUCAUUCUGUCUGUGCCGGAGCUAACGCGUUAAAUAUGCCGCCUGGGGAGUACAGUCGCAAGGCUG
Molecule: ribosomal RNA, 523 nt
Filed under: uncultured bacterium
Lineage: Bacteria
Description: bacterial SSU rRNA
Rfam family: Bacterial small subunit ribosomal RNA
Source: RNAcentral